GGGCCCGUAGCUCAGCUCGGUAGAGUGCUACCCUGGCAUGGUAGAAGCCGCGAGUUCAAAUCUCGCCGGGUCCA
Molecule: transfer RNA, 74 nt
Filed under: archaeon
Lineage: Archaea
Also listed under: 4 other names
Description: tRNA-Ala
Rfam family: tRNA
About the family: Transfer RNA (tRNA) molecules are approximately 80 nucleotides in length. Their secondary structure includes four short double-helical elements and three loops (D, anti-codon, and T loops).
Source: RNAcentral